This 288-nucleotide ribosomal RNA is filed under the name Salmonella enterica subsp. enterica serovar Mbandaka. Its description in RNAcentral is "partial 23S ribosomal RNA". It matches the Rfam family "Bacterial large subunit ribosomal RNA", at positions 528 to 816 of the family's 2925-position model. The record is from RNAcentral. Lineage: Bacteria; Pseudomonadati; Pseudomonadota; Gammaproteobacteria; Enterobacterales; Enterobacteriaceae.
GGCGAGGGGAGUGAAAAAGAACCUGGAACCGUGUACGUACAAGCAGUGGGAGCACAGGUUUACCUGUGUGACUGCGUACCUUUUGUAUAAUGGGUCAGCGACUUAUAUUCUGUAGCAAGGUUAACCGUAUAGGGGAGCCGUAGGGAAACCGAGUCUUAACCGGGCGUUAAGUUGCAGGGUAUAGACCCGAAACCCGGUGAUCUAGCCAUGGGCAGGUUGAAGGUUGGGUAACACUAACUGGAUGACCGAACCGACUAAUUUUGCAAAAUUAGCGGAUGACCUGUGGCU